UUCCGGUUGAUCCUGCCGGAGGCUACUGCUAUCGGGGUCCGAUUAAGCCAUGCGAGUUGAGAGGGGUAAGCCCUCGGCAUAUUGCUCAGUAACACGCGGAUAACCUGCCCUUGGGUUUGGGAUAACCCCGGGAAACUGGGACUAAUACCGGAUAGAUCAAAGAAACUGGAAUGUUCUCUGAUCGAAAGCUCCGGCGCCCAAGGAUGGGUCUGCGGCCUAUCAGGUAGUAGUGGGUGUAACGUACCUACUAGCCUACGACGGGUAAGGGUUGUGAGAGCAAGAGCCCUGAGAUGGAUUCUGAGACAUGAAUCCAGGCCCUACGGGGUGCAGCAGGCGCGAAAACUUUACACUGCGGGAAACCGCGAUAAGGGGACCCCGAGUGCCAGCACCUAGUGCUGGCUGUCCAGCUGUUCAAAUAACAGUCGUUAGCAAGGGCCGGGCAAGACCGGUGCCAGCCGCCGCGGUAACACCGGCGGCCCGAGUGGUAGCCGUUAUUAUUGGGUUUAAAGGGUCCGUAGCCGGCCUAUUAAGUCUCUUGGGAAAUCUGGCGACUCAAUCGUCAGGCGUUCAAGAGAUACUGGUAGGCUUGGGACCGGGAGAGGUGGGAGGUACUCCAGGGGUAGGGGUGAAAUCUCGUAAUCCUUGGGGGACCACCGAUGGCGAAGGCAUCCCACCAGAACGGGUCCGACGGUGAGGGACGAAAGCUGGGGGCACGAACCGGAUUAGAUACCCGGGUAGUCCCAGCCGUAAACGAUGCUCGCUAGGUGUCAGGUGCGGUGCGACCGCAUCUGGUGCCGCAGUGAAAACUUGAAGCGAGUCACCUGGGAAGUACGGUCGCAAGGCUGAAACUUAAAGGAAUUGGCGGGGGAGCACUACAACGGGUGGAGCCUGCGGUUCAAUUGGAUUCAACGCCGG
RNAcentral lists this ribosomal RNA (915 nucleotides) under archaeon enrichment culture clone EAr26. Its description in RNAcentral is "bacterial SSU rRNA". It matches the Rfam family "Archaeal small subunit ribosomal RNA", at positions 1 to 921 of the family's 1478-position model. The record is from RNAcentral.